UGGGGAAUUUUGGACAAUGGGCGAAAGCCUGAUCCAGCAAUGCCGCGUGUGUGAAGAAGGCCUUCGGGUUGUAAAGCACUUUUGUCCGGAAAGAAAUCCUUGGCUCUAAUACAGUCGGGGGAUGACGGUACCGGAAGAAUAAGCACCGGCUAACUACGUGCCAGCAGCCGCGGUAAUACGUAGGGUGCAAGCGUUAAUCGGAAUUACUGGGCGUAAAGCGUGCGCAGGCGGUUUGCUAAGACCGAUGUGAAAUCCCCGGGCUCAACCUGGGAACUGCAUUGGUACUGGCAGGCUAGAGUAUGGCAGAGGGGGGUAAAUUCCACGUGUAGCAGUGAAAUGCGUAGAGAUGUGGAGGAAUACCGAUGGCGAAGGCAGCCCCCCUGGGGCCAAUACUGACGCUCAUGCACGAAAGCGUGGGGAGCAAAACAGGAUUAGAUACCCUGGUAGUCCACGCCCUAAAACGAUGUCAACUAGUUNUUGGGGAUUCAUUUCCUAGUAACGUAGCUAACGCGUGAAGUUGA
RNAcentral lists this ribosomal RNA (521 nucleotides) under uncultured bacterium. RNAcentral's name for it is "partial 16S ribosomal RNA". It matches the Rfam family "Bacterial small subunit ribosomal RNA", at positions 355 to 868 of the family's 1533-position model. The record is from RNAcentral.